This 497-nucleotide ribosomal RNA is filed under the name uncultured bacterium. Its description in RNAcentral is "partial 16S ribosomal RNA". It matches the Rfam family "Bacterial small subunit ribosomal RNA", at positions 28 to 507 of the family's 1533-position model. The record is from RNAcentral.
GACGAACGCUGGCGGCGUGCCUAAUACAUGCAAGUUGAGCGAUGAAGAUUGGUGCUUGCACCAAUUUGAAGAGCAGCGCACGGGUGAGUAACGCGUGGGGAAUCUGCCUUUGAGCGGGGGACAACAUUUGGAAACGAAUGCUAAUACCGCAUAACAACUUUAAACAUAAGUUUUAAGUUUGAAAGAUGCAAUUGCAUCACUCAAAGAUGAUCCCGCGUUGUAUUAGCUAGUUGGUGAGGUAAAGGCUCACCAAGGCGAUGAUACAUAGCCGACCUGAGAGGGUGAUCGGCCACAUUGGGACUGAGACACGGCCCAAACUCCUACGGGAGGCAGCAGUAGGGAAUCUUCGGCAAUGGACGAAAGUCUGACCGAGCAACGCCGCGUGAGUGAAGAAGGGUGUCGGAUCGUAAAACUCUGUUGGUAGAGAAGAACGUUGGUGAGAGUGGAAAGCUCAUCAAGUGACGGUAACUACCCAGAAAGGGACGGCUAACUACGUG